UAUGCUUUUCCUAAAGAUUAAGCCAUGCAUGCCUAAGACUAUGAGGAAGCAAUUCUCUCUGAAUCUGCGAACGGCUCCGCAAACCGGUUGUAAACCAUAGCAGUGUUUCGCCCGGCUUCAGUAAUGGGGUCGGGCAUUAUAUGGAUAACCGUGGUAAUUUUGAGGCUAAUACAUGACACACUAACCUGGCGGGCUGGGGUAACCCGGCUUGCUGGGGGACGUGCGAAAUUAGCAAUGCUAUAAUGAACAUUGGGAAUGAGCGCACGUUCAGACCGCCAUUUAAACGGGUGAGGGGGGGCUUCGGCUUCCUCGAUCCCGGGCGGCCUCUGCAACGGGCUUCUGACCUAUCAAUUAGAUGGCAGUGUAAGGGAUAUGCUAUGGUAACAAUGGGUACAGAGGAUUAGGGUUCGAUCCUGGAGAGUGGGCCUGAGAGAUUGCUCAUACUUCUAAGGAAGGCAGCAGGCGCGCAACGUUCCCCUUGGGCAAAGCUCGAGGGCGUUAUGGGAAAUAUGAAUGCUUGCCUAUAUGGUGGGCAAUUCAAAUGGGUUUGUCGUAAACAGGCUCUCGAGUAACAAUUAGAGGA
This 583-nucleotide ribosomal RNA is filed under the name uncultured Stemonitis sp. RNAcentral describes it as "bacterial SSU rRNA". It matches the Rfam family "Eukaryotic small subunit ribosomal RNA", at positions 27 to 555 of the family's 1831-position model. Lineage: Eukaryota; Evosea; Eumycetozoa; Stemonitida. The record is from RNAcentral.